RNAcentral lists this ribosomal RNA (497 nucleotides) under uncultured bacterium. RNAcentral's name for it is "partial 16S ribosomal RNA". It matches the Rfam family "Bacterial small subunit ribosomal RNA", at positions 28 to 507 of the family's 1533-position model. The record is from RNAcentral.
GAUGAACGCUGGCGGCGUGCCUAAUACAUGCAAGUCGAGCGAACGGACGAGAAGCUUGCUUCUCUGAUGUUAGCGGCGGACGGGUGAGUAACACGUGGGUAACCUACCUAUAAGACUGGGAUAACUUCGGGAAACCGGAGCUAAUACCGGAUAAUAUUUUGAACCGCAUGGUUCAAAAGUGAAAGACGGUCUUGCUGUCACUUAUAGAUGGAUCCGCGCUGCAUUAGCUAGUUGGUAAGGUAACGGCUUACCAAGGCAACGAUGCAUAGCCGACCUGAGAGGGUGAUAGGCCACACGGGAAGUGAGACACGGUCCAGACUACUACGGGAGGCAGCAGUAGGGAAUCUUCCGCAAUGGGCGAAAGCAUGACGGAGCAACGCGGCGUGAGUGAUGAAGGUCUUCGGAUCGUAAAACUCUGUUAUUAGGGAAGAACAUAUGUGUAAGUAACUGUGCACAUCUUGACGGUACCUAAUCAGAAAGCCACGGCUAACUACGUG